Pongo pygmaeus (Bornean orangutan) is the source of this 2080-nucleotide long non-coding RNA. RefSeq lists it as uncharacterized. The transcript is spliced from 2 exons. Lineage: Eukaryota; Metazoa; Chordata; Mammalia; Primates; Hominidae. The record is from RefSeq and is a predicted model, not a curated record.
CCACGUGCACUCACGAGCACAGAGGCGAUUUCCUUCUCGCAGACUUUAGGCGCCACUGCAGGGUCCGGAAAAGAAAGAGAAACGGCCCAGCGCGGUCGCUUACAUAACCCAGGGCGGGGCUCUGCUCCGCCCCCGAAAGUUUUUGCGACGGAGUUUUCCCUCUUGUUGCCCAGGCUGAAGUGCAAUGGCGCGAUCUCGGCUCACCGCAACCUCCGCCUCCUAGGUUUAAGCGAUUUUUCUGCCUCAGCCUCGCGACUAGCUGGGAUUACAGGCAUUCACCACCAAGCCCGUCUAAUUUUGUAUUUUUAGUAGAAACGGGGUUUCCCCAUGUUGGUCAGGUUGGUCUCGAGCUCCCGACCUCAGGUGAUCGCCCGCCUCGACCUCCCAAAGUGCUGGGAUUACAGGCGUGAGCCACCGUGCCCGGCCUUGCCCGCAUGUGUUUUGAAUUUUGCUGCCCGGAAUUCACUGCGAGGACUGGGAUCACCCGUCACCCCGCCCUGGUCUACGGAAACUGAAAUGUGUUCACUGAUAUAGAAAAGGAAUAACGGCGCUGUGGGCUGGGGAGGGCGGAGCUGCCUUCAGGCUUCUGGUCUCCAGUAGCGAGGCACUCACACCUGCCCGCUAUGAAAAUGCAGACCCGCGGGGCAGGAAUUCCGAGUCCGGGCUGGAGCGCGAUCUGGAAUCCGGCUCUCUUGAAACAGCACCGCGGUGGAUUCGGAGCCGGGUAAGUAGGAAACUGCGCCUCAGCCCCUCCCACGGGCCGCCCACGGAUUCCAGGAUCCGAAAACGCUUCCUGCUGCUCGGUCACCCCAGGAAGGCAGCGUCCGCCUCUGGGCGGUUCUGAUGGAAACCGGCUCCGCCGCCCGCAGGAAAACCCACAACUAAGGGGCCAGGAAAAAGCCUCUUAGGGUCCCGCCACUUCAGUGAGGAUCCUAACUUACACCCUUAGUGUGGCCUCCAUCAAAGACUGGAGUGACCUUCACUGAAAUGAUACAAGGGGCCCAGGGCGCUGUGGCGCUCAGAAUGCGGUGACAGCGCCGCCUCGCGUCCCUUCCCUGACCUGCCCCCGGCGGACGCGGACAAAUUUGUUGGCCUGGAGGCUGGAAUAUACCGGGGAUCAAAUGCAGAGAAUGGAGAAAAGAGGGAAGGAUGGCGGAGCUGGGACAAUUAUAUUCAUCAGAACAGCAUGAUGUCAAGGCCCUCAUCCCCAGAAAGCUUAAGAGACACUGUUUUAUGGAGGAGAGUGAGAUUGGAGGAGCCCCUGACUCCAAGUCUCCUGAUCCUUCCUACACAAAGCGAUGCUGAAAAAAAGUGCAGGACACUCCAUUUCCUCCUGGGACAAGACAGGGAAGCCAGAGCCACCAUGGAUGUCAAAUUCCAGCAAGGAAACACCAGUAUAGCAAAAUCUCCACAUCACAUUUUAAAGCUCACACAAUGGCUCAAAGAGAACCAACAUCAAAAAACUGAAUUCCUAGCUCAGGUGAGAUCACAAAAGUUGCCUGUGAGGCUUCGUGGAAAUUGCAGGUAGAAAGGACAUCUUUAUUUAGAGCUGCAGUCCAGUUGCUCCUGCAUCUUGGAGCCCCUUGAAAGGACCCUCUCCCUUCAACAGUACAUAGGGAGGCCAUUUCUGGGGAGAAAUGUAGACUGUCCUUGGACCCCUGAGGUUUUUACACUUAGACUUGCUGACUCUGUGGACUUUAACUUCAUCAUUAAACAUCUUGAUGUAAUUUGCUUUGACUGUAAGUGCAGAACAGGAUGCUGUUCCUGAAUUAGGAAACAAGGGACUGGUGACCUGCACUGUCACCCCCUCUGUGGUGCUCAGAUGCAAUGAAAUUGUGAGGCAACAAAUCUAUGGCUAGGUAAAGAGUCAACUCCAUUUCAGCAAAUGUUUCAGAUGUUCCUUCUUGCCUAGUAAUGUUCUAGCUUUACCCCAGCCUUAAUCUUUUAAAAUGUAUAUUUUUCUUGGUGUUGAUUUUAAAAUAAUUCAUAUGUAUUUAUUACACUGGGUUUGUUGCAGUAAGCCACCUCGAAUGUUGCUGUAGAAUUAAAGUAAGCAAAUAAAUUUGUGGUUCUCCAUGGA